This 267-nucleotide unclassified non-coding RNA is filed under the name Pinguicula oblongiloba. RNAcentral's name for it is "ITS1". The record is from RNAcentral. Lineage: Eukaryota; Viridiplantae; Streptophyta; Magnoliopsida; Lamiales; Lentibulariaceae.
UCGAAUCCCGCAACGAGCAGACCGCGCACACGUAUAAGCUGCAUGGGGCACCCGAUGGGAAGGUGCGCGUGCGCCUCCCGUUGGUUUGCUCCGCACCCCCGGCCGAUACCCUCGCGCGAGCGAGUGCAACAGGCUGGGCCAUUAACAGACCCACGGCGUAUUACGGCGCCAAGGAUCACAAACGCGGAGCGCUGCCCUCGUCGUGCACCCGUUCGUGGUGUGCCGUUCGGGGGAUGUGCGUCUCCCAAGAUUGCAUACGGAAAAAAU